RNAcentral lists this ribosomal RNA (254 nucleotides) under uncultured bacterium. RNAcentral's name for it is "partial 16S ribosomal RNA". It matches the Rfam family "Bacterial small subunit ribosomal RNA", at positions 524 to 776 of the family's 1533-position model. The record is from RNAcentral.
GACGAACCUUGCUAACGUUAUUCGGAAUCAUUGGGCUUAAAGGGCGCGUAGGCGGCGGCGUAAGUUCGUGGUGAAAUCCCAUCGGCUCAACCGUGGAAUCGCUUCGAAUACUGCGUCGCUCGAGUGGGAUAGGGGACCGCAGAACUGCCGGUGGAGCGGUGAAAUGUGUUGAUAUCGGCGGGAAUGCCAGUGCCGAAAGGGGCGGUCUGGACCCUCACUGACGCUGAGGCGCGAAAGCUAGGGGAGCAAACGGG